Hydra vulgaris (swiftwater hydra) is the source of this 1384-nucleotide long non-coding RNA. RefSeq lists it as uncharacterized. The record is from RefSeq and is a predicted model, not a curated record. NCBI's taxonomy places the organism in Eukaryota, Metazoa, Cnidaria, Hydrozoa, Anthoathecata, Hydridae.
CCUUUUAAAUAUCUUGUAUAAAUACAUAAGAUGUUCAUGAAUUCAAUAUUUUAUAAAAACAAAUUCUAAAAUGCCAACUUAUAGGAAAAACUCAGAUAACCAAAAUUUUCCGUUGUUAUCAAACCACAACAAAGAGCAACAAAAAAGACAAAAGUUUCGGACUUGGUCUUAUCUGCUGGGGAACCGAAAAAUUUCUCGUUUUUCAAUAAUCGAAACAGAUGAGAGCAAUACAAAAAAUUAUCAGUCAAAAGAAAGUCUCAGGUUGAACUUGCUUCGGAGUAAAUACUUAGAAAAUACAAAAUUGGAACUACUUAAUUGUCUUUAUGAAGAUCAGUGCGCUAAUUUUGAUCAAAUGAUAAAAGCACUAAGUGUUUAUAUCAGUCUAAUGGAUAAAAAACUUAUUAUUCUUGAAGCCUGCUAUAAAGGUUGUUUUAGUUGCUUUAAAGUUUUGAUACAAAAUGAAUUCCCUCUUGACUUUAGCUUAAAUGAUCACUGGUCGCCUCUUCAUGCUGCAGUAAUGGGUGAGAGCGAAGAAAUUGUCCGAUUUUUAACUACAUAUUACAAAAAUGUAAACUUUAUAAACAUUUUAAAUGGAAUAACACCACUCCAUAUUGCGGUAUAUAAAGACAAUUUGAUUCUGGUGCAUUUAUUAGUACGAGCUUCUGCAGAAAUUUUUUUAUCCUUUCGAUUUAUGACUCCAUUUCAAUUAGCAAUAAAUUUCAAACGUAGCGCUAUACUGGACUAUUUUAUUUUGUGCACAACAAAUUUAAAAUCAAAUUUUAUUUCUGUUUCACAGUCUUCAAUCUAAAGAAUGUUUUAAAGAGGGUAGGGCAGGGUUAGAUGUCUUCUCGUGGUAAAAAACCACCUGUGCCUAUGUGAGUGGGAGUAAAAAAGCCACAGCUUUAGCAGUUUUAUCGGUAAGUGCUUCUGCUUCAACCCAUUUACUGAAGUAGUCGAUUAAUACAACAAGAUAUUUGCAACCGUUAACUUCUGGUAGCUGAGUUAAAUCGAUUCCUACCUGCUUCAUAUUGCCUUUAGGAAUUGAAAUAUUUUGCAGCAAUGGUUUUGACUAAAGUUUUCUGUUCUUUGACUUUUGGCAUUGGUCACAUUUGGAAACAUAAGUUGUAAUAUCUUUUAUCAUUCUAUACCAGAAAAAUCUACUUUGAAUGUGAUAGGUUGUGUUAUUAAUACCUGUAUGACCAGAUAAAGCGUUAGACUCAACAGAGACGUCGUUUCCUUCAUGAACAAACAUUAUCAUGUCUUGUUGUUCAUCUCUACUCUAAAUGACUUUUCUCUAAAAAAAAAAAGAAGCUGUAAACCAUCAAUAUAAUGAGAAUCAAAACUAAAUUAGUUUUCAUUAUUUAUUAAAUAAAUUAUUUGUAAA